Molecule: ribosomal RNA, 471 nt
Filed under: [Candida] sp.
Lineage: Eukaryota; Fungi; Ascomycota; Saccharomycetes; Saccharomycetales
Description: Candida sp. (in: Saccharomycetales) partial large subunit ribosomal RNA
Rfam family: Eukaryotic large subunit ribosomal RNA
Source: RNAcentral
UUGUAGACUUGUUCUAGGUGACUGACUAAAGUUUGCUGGAAUGCAACGCCUUAGAGGGUGACAGCCCCGUUAAGUCUUAACCGAUUGUAGAGCAAUGUCAAAGAGUCGAGUUGUUUGGGAAUGCAGCUCAAAGUGGGUGGUAAACUCCAUCUAAAGCUAAAUAUUGGCGAGAGACCGAUAGCGAACAAGUACAGUGAUGGAAAGAUGAAAAGAACUUUGAAAAGAGAGUGAAAUAGUACGUGAAAUUGUUGAAAGGGAAGGAUUUAGUGGUAGACUUGGCUUUACGGAACAGUUGUCUCUCGGGAUUGCGUACUCCGUCUUUUGCCGGGUGAAGCCAUGUGAUGAGGGGUUAAGAAACCUCUAGGAAUGUGGCACCAACUUGUUGGUGUGUUAUAGCCUAGAGAAAUUGACCCAUUCGCUACAUUGGCUUCACGUAAUACUACUAAAUCACCCGUCUUGAAACACGGACCA